UAGGAAACGAGGGGAGUCGCCCGUUCGGGGAGCCGAGGAGACGAGGUGCUGCAUGGCUGUCGUCAGCUCGUGUCGUGAGAUUGGUUGGGGUUAAGUCCCGCAACGAGCGCAACCCUUGUCUUUAAUUGCCAUCAUUCAGUUGGGCACUUUAAAGAGACUGCCGGUGUUAAACCGGAGGAAGGUGGGAUGACGUCAAGUCCUCAUGGCCUUUAUGCCCAGGGCUACACACGUGCUACAAUGGCGCAUACAAAGAGAAGCGACCUCGCGAGAGCAAGCGGACCUCAUAAAGUGCGUCGUAGUCCGGAUUGGAGUCUGCAACUCGACUCCAUGAAGUCGGAAUCGCUAGUAAUCGUGGAUCAGAAUGCCACGGUGAAUACGUUCCCGGGCCUU
Molecule: ribosomal RNA, 390 nt
Filed under: uncultured Peptostreptococcaceae bacterium
Lineage: Bacteria; Bacillati; Bacillota; Clostridia; Peptostreptococcales; Peptostreptococcaceae
Description: bacterial SSU rRNA
Rfam family: Bacterial small subunit ribosomal RNA
Source: RNAcentral